AUCCAAUCGACGAGUCCCACAUAGGAUGAAAUGCGAGUCCUGGAU
Non-coding RNA from Schistosoma rodhaini, 45 nucleotides. NCBI's taxonomy places the organism in Eukaryota, Metazoa, Platyhelminthes, Trematoda, Strigeidida, Schistosomatidae. The record is from Rfam.